AGAUUGAACGCUGGCGGAAUGCUCUACACAUGCAAGUCGAACGGCAGCGCGGACUUCGGUCUGGCGGCGAGUGGCGAACGGGUGAGUAACGUGUCGGAACGUGCCAAGUAAUGGGGGAUAACGCAGCGAAAGUUGUGCUAAUACCGCAUACGCUCUGAGGAGGAAAGCGGGGGACCUUCGGGCCUCGCGUUAUUUGAGCGGCCGACAUCUGAUUAGCUAGUUGGUAGGGUAAAGGCCUACCAAGGCAACGAUCAGUAGCGGGUCUGAGAGGAUGAUCCGCCACACUGGGACUGAGACACGGCCCAGACUCCUACGGGAGGCAGCAGUGGGGAAUUUUGGACAAUGGGGGCAACCCUGAUCCAGCCAUUCCGCGUGUCUGAAGAAGGCCUUCGGGUUGUAAAGGACUUUUGUCCGGGAGCAAAGCCUGUUCGUGAAUAACGGAUGGGGAUGAGAGUACCGGAAGAAUAAGCACCGGCUAACUACGUGCCAGCAGCCGCGGUAAUACGUAGGGUGCGAGCGUUAAUCGGAAUUACUGGGCGUAAAGCGUGCGCAGGCGGUAUUGUAAGUCUGAUGUGAAAGCCCCGGGCUUAACCUGGGAACGGCAUUGGAAACUGCAAAACUAGAGUACGUCAGAGGGGGGUAGAAUUCCACGUGUAGCAGUGAAGUGCGUAGAGAUGUGGAGGAAUACCGAUGGCGAAGGCAGCCCCCUGGGAUGAUACUGACGCUCAUGCACGAAAGCGUGGGGAGCAAACAGGAUUAGAUACCCU
Molecule: ribosomal RNA, 767 nt
Filed under: uncultured soil bacterium
Lineage: Bacteria
Description: bacterial SSU rRNA
Rfam family: Bacterial small subunit ribosomal RNA
Source: RNAcentral